GUAGUGUGUACGCAGACCUUACCCCUAACCUGGGGUAGUGAGGCUGUUUCCAAAUAGACCCCCGGCAUCCUUCCCUCCAAGAACUUCCCACCUUGCUCUUGGGGAGACUCGAACUCACAACCUCUCGGUUGGAAGUGGGAGUUGCUUACCAUAAUAGCAACCCCUCUUGUCAAAUCUAAGAUUACAAGAUGUACUUUUUUACAAUAACAACAAUCCAGUAUAAUCUCACUUAGUGGGGUCUGGGGAGGGUAGUAUGUACUCAGACCUUACCCUUACCAUAUGGUAGAGAGGCUGUUUCCAAAUAGACCCCCGACAUCCUUCCCUCCAAGAACUUUCCACCUUGCUUCCGAGGAGAUUCGAACUCACAACCUCUCGGUUGGAAGUAAGAAUUGCUUACCAACAACCUGUCGUGUCUUUUCCUUUUUCACCUCCUCAAAAACAAUUUGUCGACAGAGAAGGGACUGACAACGGUUGUUCCAAAGAAUAUGGUUCUUGAAAAACCAGCUGCUUCUGACGACGUCAUACAUAUCAUUCGAC
This 537-nucleotide long non-coding RNA is filed under the name Nicotiana benthamiana. RNAcentral's name for it is "long non-coding RNA (NBEN_LNC038635)". Lineage: Eukaryota; Viridiplantae; Streptophyta; Magnoliopsida; Solanales; Solanaceae. The record is from RNAcentral.